This 517-nucleotide unclassified non-coding RNA is filed under the name uncultured Glomus. RNAcentral describes it as "SSU rRNA". It matches the Rfam family "Eukaryotic small subunit ribosomal RNA", at positions 569 to 1092 of the family's 1831-position model. Lineage: Eukaryota; Fungi; Glomeromycota; Glomeromycetes; Glomerales; Glomeraceae. The record is from RNAcentral.
CGCAGCCGCGGUAAUUCCAGCUCCAAUAGCGUAUAUUAAAGUUGCUGCAGUUAAAAGCUCGUAGUUGAAUUUCGGGACUAAUAUGUCGGUCGUGCCUCGGUACGUACUGGUUUAUUGGUUUCUCCUUUCUGAAGAACCAUGAUGUCAUUUAUUUGGUGUCGUGGGGAAUCAGGACUGUUACUUUGAAAAAUUAGAGUGUUUAAAGCAGGCUCACGCUUGAAUACAUUAGCAUGGAAUAAUGAAAUAGGACGUUUGAUUCUAUUUUGUUGGUUUCUAGGAUCGACGUAAUGAUUAAUAGGGAUAGUUGGGGGCAUUAGUAUUCAAUUGUCAGAGGUGAAAUUCUUGGAUUUAUUGAAGACUAACUACUGCGAAAGCAUUUGCCAAGGAUGUUUUCAUUAAUCAAGAACGAAAGUUAGGGAUCGAAGACGAUCAGAUACCGUCGUAGUCUUAACCAUAAACUAUGCCGACUAGGGAUCGGAUGAUGUUAAUUUUUUAAUGACUCAUUCGGCGCCUUAAC